AAGGCGACGACGGGUAGCCGGCCUGAGAGGGUGACCGGCCACACUGGGACUGAGACACGGCCCAGACUCCUACGGGAGGCAGCAGUGGGGAAUAUUGCACAAUGGGCGCAAGCCUGAUGCAGCGACGCCGCGUGAGGGAUGACGGCCUUCGGGUUGUAAACCUCUUUCAGCAGGGAAGAAGCGAAAGUGACGGUACCUGCAGAAGAAGCGCCGGCUAACUACGUGCCAGCAGCCGCGGUAAUACGUAGGGCGCAAGCGUUGUCCGGAAUUAUUGGGCGUAAAGAGCUCGUAGGCGGUUUGUCGCGUCUGCUGUGAAAGCCCGGGGCUCAACCCCGGGUCUGCAGUGGGUACGGGCAGACUUGAGUGCAGUAGGGGAGACUGGAAUUCCUGGUGUAGCGGUGAAAUGCGCAGAUAUCAGGAGGAACACCGAUGGCGAAGGCAGGUCUCUGGGCUGUAACUGACGCUGAGGAGCGAAAG
Molecule: ribosomal RNA, 477 nt
Filed under: Kocuria dechangensis
Lineage: Bacteria; Bacillati; Actinomycetota; Actinomycetes; Micrococcales; Micrococcaceae
Description: bacterial SSU rRNA
Rfam family: Bacterial small subunit ribosomal RNA
Source: RNAcentral